Molecule: long non-coding RNA, 2994 nt
Organism: Haemorhous mexicanus (house finch)
Lineage: Eukaryota; Metazoa; Chordata; Aves; Passeriformes; Fringillidae
Exons: 2
Source: RefSeq, a predicted model, not a curated record
UGGCUAAUUGGGAUCUUUUUGAUGAUUAGGACAGAAAAAUCUGUUUGCAAGCAUUCUUGCUGUAAUUAGUCUGAACAGUGCAUGAUAUCCUAUCUCAGACAGUAGCCAGUAACAGACUCAUGAGGAAUAGCAAAGGAUGGGGAAGCCCUUUGUGUUACUUGCCUAGGACACUCUCCCAGUCUUUAGCAGUUGCUGGUUCACAGAUUUUCUGAGCCAAGGUCUGUAAGUUUUUGGUGCAUGAACCUCUAUAAAUUUUAGCAUCCAUUACAUGCAGAAAGGCAUCCACAGCUUUAUUAGGUGUUCUACAAAGACAAUGUCCAAGCACUGGACAAAAGUACCUUCUGGUUAGAGAUUUCCAGAACUGUAAUUAAUGCUUCUCCCAGGAUGUAUUCAGAUGGAUAUCAGCAUAGUUAAGUGGAAGAGGCAUUCAUCUUAGGCUCACUAUGCAAUUUAUCAUGGAUUAAUGAGUUUACUGUAUCAGCUUAGUCACAGUAACUGUGUGGUUUUAGCCAGCAGCAAAAACAUGCUGGUGCUACUUAAUGUAUGUUGGGCUGUGGCUGUAAUUGCAUUUGCCACAAGUUCUGGGUGUUUGCAUGGCCCAGUGUCAUGGAUCAGCUGACGUGAGAACUGGUAUUUGCCUUCUCAGCUUGAUGAGUUGGAGCCCUUACAGAAUUUAGUUCCAAGCAUUCUUGUAAUGAGAAGUCAGGAUUGGUAUUCAUGUCUAGUAAGCCAAGCCAAUGCACUCACAGUUGUACUGCAAUAACUUCUCUAGAACAUUCUCAGUAUCCUGAUAAGGGAAACACCCAGUCUUUUUCCAUUUUGUGGAAGGUUGUGAAGCAUGUGUUUAAAGUGCAAAAUCUUGGCCAAAACUGGUUAGAAAAAGAAAAGUUGAGUUGUGCUAGCAGAUAUUUUGAAUUUACAUGUUUAUCUGUUGGUGUGUUGGGAUCAUCUGCUUUGAAGGCUGCUUUCAUUCUUGCCUCUGACUGUCCUGGCUGAAUAAUUAGAGUUACCUGUAGCGUGUGGAUGGAAUACCCAAGGUAAAAGUCCAUAACUGAUUAUGUGCUUUAGUUCUUUCUGUACAUUGGCUUAGCUAAUCAGAAAUUAUCUGGCUGAAUCAGUGUUUAAUUCUGACAUUUUGGCAAUGAAACAGUUGAAAUACUUUCAUUCUCUCUUUCAGGCAUUCAUAGCACAUGUUGUCUUUUUGGUUUUUUUGCUUUCAUCCACAACAAAUGUUUGUGUUUUUUUCGUUUUGGUUCACUACAAAUGUUUGGCUUCCUCAUGUUUGAUUUCUCUUUCCUGGUCUCCUGAAGUGCUGUCACAGAAAUUUGUUUUUCCGAUUGGGUCUUGCUGUUACAUCUUAAUCUGCAUCACUUUCUCUGCUGUAUAUGGCCUUGUGCUUUUUAAAAUUUUUUUUUUUCAUCCUUUUAUUCCUGUCCUCAGUGAUUUCUUGAGUUUGUUAGUAUGAUGUCUUAGAAUUGUUUUUGUCUUCAAGGGCUGAAUAAUUGAUGCUUCUAAUGGACCAUCCCAAAACACUUUGCUGUCAAAAGUGCCAAUAUUGGCUUGCCAAAUGGCCUUUCUUAUGUGAUAUUCUGCAGUGUUCCAGAUAAUCUGGAAAAAACAUUAUGCUAUACAUCUUCCUCUGCCUUGUGUAAGCCUCAGCACAGCUGUUGCUCAAAUGUCAGCCUGGAUUCCCUCUUCUGCUCUGCUGUGCAUUCUGGCUCUGUGCAUCUGUCUCAGCAGAGCGACAUGUGUUGGUUCAUUAGCGUGACUUCCAAGUUCCAGAGCCUCAUUUUCCUCUGGGCUGGAAGAGAUUCAUGUUUAGAUAACAGUAAUAUAAGGAUAUUGUUCUUGGCCAGGUGGCAACCAAGCUAAACAUAGCCUUAUAAAGGUCUCAGGUAGUGCCCACUCUGAAUGCAGCCACCAUGGAGCCGAUGGCAGCAAUUCCCUGUUGGAUGAGGGAAGGCAGUGGGGGCUGUGUCUCACUGUUGUCAUUUAUUAUUCUUGUAAAUGCUUCUACUUAGGAAAAGCUUUUAUCAUAGUAAAUAUGUGUUCUAAAAUGUAUUGGGCCUAGGACUUGAGGUGUUAGUGUAAAAAGAUGUAUAUUUUUAUCCUGUGAUAAUAUGGCAUUGUUUAUUUUCCCAGUGCCUCCUAUUACUGUGCUUAUAUCAUUGCAACUCUUAUAGAAAUUCUUCUCCAAACCCUUCUAUACAAGAUUCCUUUCCCUACUUGUAUAUCCCCUGCUCCACUUGUAGCAGUAAGCAGUCUGAGCUCUUAAGAGGUAGUAGUUGAUGAAUUUUUGAUGAAUUAUUUUAAUAGUCUUUUCUAAGAAGGAAGGCAUGGAAGCGUGUCAUUAUGUUGUUGUUCAGAAUUAAUUUCAAUCUUCCUCACAGCUUGCUUUGUAUACUAUGUACUUAUAAUUUUGAUGGACCAAAAUACUGGUCCUCAUAAGUAAUAAGGAAUUUUUUUGCUAAGAAAAUGAAGAUGAUAUUAAGAAAUAAGAUUUACUCCUAAAAGUUUUUUUUUUUCCUGAGGCUUUUGACCCUGGCACCUACCUGGGAGGUUGGUAGCUGUGAACUGAAAAUGAAAGAUCCUGCUUUCUGUAAAUUGUGGCAUUCAGUAGAUACAUGUAGCAAAGAAUUACUAGCCAUAAGCAUAGAACAUGCUUAUUCAAAAUAAUAACACAACUGCAUCCUUCUGCCAGUGCUGUUAAUCUGCCAAUUUUAUAACAAUUCCUAUGAGAAGAUACAAAUCAUAGGACAUCAGUAUCCUUUUUUCUCAGUCUGUAUUUUAUUCCAUAACUCUCUGUUCUCUCCUGGAGUGCAAAUAUGUCCAUAUCCCUCUUCCCAGUACCAGUUUCAAGAACUAGGUGCACAUCUUGCUCUCUUUCAAUGUGAAAUUAGUGUAGUGGCCGGAAUCUUUCUAGAGCAUAAAUACCAAAGUGACUUGAAGGAGGAAGGCAGAAGGAUGUAACAGAACUUCAGGUACCAAAGAGAA